GACUAUAGAGGUAAGUGGCGAAAGGGCAUCGCAUCUGACUACAAUCAUUCUCCCGCCUCUGACUCAAUGUGUAAUCAGGAGAUUGCAGGUUCGACCCCUGUCUCAGUCA
Asterophora parasitica is the source of this 109-nucleotide non-coding RNA. NCBI's taxonomy places the organism in Eukaryota, Fungi, Basidiomycota, Agaricomycetes, Agaricales, Lyophyllaceae. The record is from the annotation of a GenBank genome assembly.